CCCUUAGAUGUUCUGGGCUGCACGCGCGCUACACUGAAGCGUUCAACGAGUAUUUCACCUUGCCCGGGAGGGUUGGGUAAUCUUUUUAAAACGCUUCGUGAUGGGGAUAGAUUAUUGCAAUUAUUAAUCUUCAACGAGGAAUUCCUAGUAAACGCAAGUCAUCAGCUUGCAUUGAUUACGUCCCUGCCCUUUGUACACACCGCCCGUCGCUCCUACCGAUUGAAUGUUCCGAUGAAUACCAUGGACUGAGAGUAUGAAUGGGUUCGCCUAUUUCUGCUUCUCGGGAAGUGGAGUAAAUCUUAACAUUUAGAGGAAGGAGAAGUCGUAACA
RNAcentral lists this ribosomal RNA (330 nucleotides) under uncultured eukaryote. Its description in RNAcentral is "partial 18S ribosomal RNA". It matches the Rfam family "Eukaryotic small subunit ribosomal RNA", at positions 1470 to 1796 of the family's 1831-position model. The record is from RNAcentral.